UCUGGGAUAAGCCUGGGAAACUGGGUCUAAUACCGGAUAUGACUUCUCAUCGCAUGGUGGGGGGUGGAAAGCUUUUGUGGUUUUGGAUGGACUCGCGGCCUAUCAGCUUGUUGGUGGGGUAAUGGCCUACCAAGGCACGACGGGUAGCCGGCCUGAGAGGGUGACCGGCCACACUGGGACUGAGACACGGCCCAGACUCCUACGGGAGGCAGCAGUGGGGAAUAUUGCACAAUGGGCGCAAGCCUGAUGCAGCGACGCCGCGUGAGGGAUGACGGCCUUCGGGUUGUAAACCUCUUUCAGUAGGGAAGAAGCCCUCUUUUGGGGGUGACGGUACUUGCAGAAGAAGCGCCGGCUAACUACGUGCCAGCAGCCGCGGUAAUACGUAGGGCGCAAGCGUUAUCCGGAAUUAUUGGGCGUAAAGAGCUCGUAGGCGGUUUGUCGCGUCUGCUGUGAAAGACCG
RNAcentral lists this ribosomal RNA (460 nucleotides) under Arthrobacter sp. acu84. Its description in RNAcentral is "bacterial SSU rRNA". It matches the Rfam family "Bacterial small subunit ribosomal RNA", at positions 137 to 604 of the family's 1533-position model. Lineage: Bacteria; Bacillati; Actinomycetota; Actinomycetes; Micrococcales; Micrococcaceae. The record is from RNAcentral.